CAUGGAGGCAAGUGAAUGCGCAACAAGGGAUCUCUAACCUUCAAACCGUUUAGGGGAGAAUACUCUAUGAUAUGAUUAAGAAUCUCUGGCCAGUGUAUGAAUGAGAUUUAGGAAGUCGUUCCAAAUCACAUUCUAGGUAAUCAUAUAAGCACAUUAAUCACAUUGGAUAGUAGACAUGAAUAAACUAUCAAACCAAACAAUGUGGUCAAGAGUAUUGUAUUAGAGAAAGACCGUAUUGCAUUCGUAAUCCUAAACUGAAUAGGUUCUCCACCUCUUCUGAUUAGCUUGG
This 289-nucleotide long non-coding RNA is filed under the name Malus domestica (apple). RNAcentral describes it as "long non-coding RNA (MDOM_LNC006012)". Lineage: Eukaryota; Viridiplantae; Streptophyta; Magnoliopsida; Rosales; Rosaceae. The record is from RNAcentral.